This 366-nucleotide ribosomal RNA is filed under the name Streptomyces sp. BCCS A7. RNAcentral describes it as "bacterial SSU rRNA". It matches the Rfam family "Bacterial small subunit ribosomal RNA", at positions 708 to 1072 of the family's 1533-position model. Lineage: Bacteria; Bacillati; Actinomycetota; Actinomycetes; Kitasatosporales; Streptomycetaceae. The record is from RNAcentral.
ACCGGUGGCGAAGGCGGAUCUCUGGGCCAUUACUGACGCUGAGGAGCGAAAGCGUGGGGAGCGAACAGGAUUAGAUACCCUGGUAGUCCACGCCGUAAACGUUGGGAACUAGGUGUUGGCGACAUUCCACGUCGUCGGUGCCGCAGCUAACGCAUUAAGUUCGCCCGCCUGGGGAGUACGGCCGCAAGGCUAAAACUCAAAGGAAUUGACGGGGGCCCGCACAAGCGGCGGAGCAUGUGGCUUAAUUCGACGCAACGCGAAGAACCUUACCAAGGCUUGACAUAUACCGGAAAGCAUUAGAGAUAGUGCCCCCCUUGUGGUCGGUAUACAGGUGGUGCAUGGCUGUCGUCAGCUCGUGUCGUGAGA